AGCGAACGCUGGCGGCAGGCUUAACACAUGCAAGUCGAACGGGCAUCUUCGGAUGUCAGUGGCAGACGGGUGAGUAACACGUGGGAACGUACCCUUCGGUUCGGAAUAACUCAGGGAAACUUGAGCUAAUACCGGAUACGCCCUUUUGGGGAAAGGUUUACUGCCGAAGGAUCGGCCCGCGUCUGAUUAGCUUGUUGGUGGGGUAACGGCCUACCAAGGCGACGAUCAGUAGCUGGUCUGAGAGGAUGAUCAGCCACACUGGGACUGAGACACGGCCCAGACUCCUACGGGAGGCAGCAGUGGGGAAUAUUGGACAAUGGGCGCAAGCCUGAUCCAGCCAUGCCGCGUGAGUGAUGAAGGCCUUAGGGUUGUAAAGCUCUUUUGUCCGGGACGAUAAUGACGUUACCGGAAGAAUAAGCCCCGGCUAACUUCGUG
RNAcentral lists this ribosomal RNA (435 nucleotides) under uncultured bacterium. RNAcentral's name for it is "partial 16S ribosomal RNA". It matches the Rfam family "Bacterial small subunit ribosomal RNA", at positions 29 to 507 of the family's 1533-position model. The record is from RNAcentral.